Long non-coding RNA from Passer domesticus (house sparrow), 964 nucleotides. RefSeq lists it as uncharacterized. The record is from RefSeq and is a predicted model, not a curated record. The transcript is spliced from 3 exons. Lineage: Eukaryota; Metazoa; Chordata; Aves; Passeriformes; Passeridae.
UCUUCCAACCUUAACGAUUCUAUGAUUCUAUGAGAGGCAGGGAAAAAGAGUUGAUGGUGUGGCUGUGUACAUUAAGCAGUCUUUCAACUUUCUAUCAAGGAUAAUGAUGACAAGAUUGAGUAUCUGUGGGUAAGAAUCGGGGGAAGGCCAACAACACAGACAUCCUGGUAGGAGUCUAUUAUAGACAACCCAACCGGGAUGAAGGGAUGGAUGAACUAUUCUGUAAGCCUCUGUCUUAUGUUUCACAAUGGCUAGCCCUUGCUCUUGUGGGAGACUAACUUGUGGGAUGCCUGCUGGAAACUCAACACAGUGGAGUCUAGAACACUUCUUAAGUGUGUGGAAGACAACUUUCUGACACAACUAGUAACUGAGCUUAGCAAGGUGACCCACUUGGUGGAUGUAGGGAAGGCUGUGGAUGUUGUCUACCUGGACUUCAGCAAAGCCUCUGACACCAUCUCCCACAACAUUCUCCUGGAGAAGCUGGCAGCCCGUGGCUUGGACAGGAAGAAGACUUACUCGCUUUUUCCUGUGGAUGAAGGUAGCAACUGGAUUUGGGAGGCAACAAAGAGGCUAAUGGAAAGUCACUUCUGGAUCAGCAAGAUCUAGGGCUUUUGAAAACAACACAAAACUAGCUAUAUUUAAAGACAUUAGUAUUUACAUUAACACUACUUUUGUCUACCUGACUUCACCUGUGCCAUAUCUUCUGAAAACAGAAAACACUAGAGUCUUGAACUGGACUUCCAAAAUGUAAGGUUCCUCCACAAUCAUUAGAUUCUUUGAAAAUGUCAACCCUUUAUUAUAUUAAUUUUGGUUCCUACUGUCCCUUUUGGUCUUUUAAAACUAUUUUGACUUACAAAAUAACAAGACUUCUGAAAGAGAAUGCUACAUUCCAGUUUUCCCAUGAACUUAGUCUUUGAGGACCCCAGCACCAUGCCUUGAGGCUACUUUAUAAGCGCUUUGUCAC